This 324-nucleotide ribosomal RNA is filed under the name uncultured eukaryote. RNAcentral describes it as "partial 18S ribosomal RNA". It matches the Rfam family "Eukaryotic small subunit ribosomal RNA", at positions 1470 to 1796 of the family's 1831-position model. The record is from RNAcentral.
CCCUUUGAUGCUCUGGGCCGCACGCGCGCUACACUGGUCGAUGCAACGAGUUUCUUUCCUUGGCCGACAGGCCUGGGCAAUCUUUGAACAUCGAUCGUGAUCGGGAUAGAUUCUUGUAAUUUUUGAUCUUAAACGAGGAAUUCCUAGUAAACGCAAGUCAUCAGCUUGCAUUGAUUACGUCCCUGCCCUUUGUACACACCGCCCGUCGCACCUACCGAUUGAAUGGUCCGGUGAAAUCUCCGGACUGGCGUGAGUCGGAGCAAUCUGACAAACACCGGAAAGUUGAUUAAACCUUACCAUUUAGAGGAAGGUGAAGUCGUAACA